AUUUCUUCCCCACAAAUGUUCCUGCCCUCCACACCAGAAGCAAGCAAGGGGAAGACAUACCCAAGGAGGAUCUUUCAGAAGUCUUGGCUGAGUGUGAUGAAGAAGGAUGCAUGAAAUUCUGACCUGAACAUCAGAACAUGAAUCAUUUUUAUGAGACUCCAAGACAAAAGGACCACAAAAGACACAAAAGUGUGUGCACUCACUUCACUGACACUCCGGAAGAGCUGGAAAGUAUAAGCUACUUUGGUUCACAGUAGAACAGGGAGGAUCUGUUUUCCAGAACCUUAUCCAAAUUGGAGGAAAGAAACUGUUCCCACUCCAACAACUACUAGCUGUCCUGUCUCAAUAAAGAACAUAGAGCACUGCCAGGAGUCAAGAGUUCCAGGGAACAGACUGGGAAUACUGAAGCUAUGAAAGGUGUCCAUUUUUAAGAGCUACUCUGGAUUCAGGGAAAAGCCUGAGAAUGUUUGGUACAUGUCUGAGAACAUGGAACCAAGCAAAGAAAGUAGCAGCAGACAGCGAGGUGAACAUUUCCCGGUUCAAUCUCUGCCUAAACCUCUUGCAAUUCCUGUCAGGAGGUGACUGUGUGCAAAAGAACCAUGGCACAAGCAGAACCAGGAUGAGUGAAGAGGAGGUUGAUGUUGCUCAUUUCAGCAUUACAAACAACAAGACCCUAU
RNAcentral lists this long non-coding RNA (677 nucleotides) under Heterocephalus glaber (naked mole-rat). RNAcentral's name for it is "lncRNA (ENSHGLG00000036435.1)". Lineage: Eukaryota; Metazoa; Chordata; Mammalia; Rodentia; Bathyergidae. The record is from RNAcentral.